This 154-nucleotide ribosomal RNA is filed under the name uncultured bacterium. RNAcentral's name for it is "partial 16S ribosomal RNA". It matches the Rfam family "Bacterial small subunit ribosomal RNA", at positions 355 to 509 of the family's 1533-position model. The record is from RNAcentral.
UGGGGAAUAUUGCACAAUGGGCGCAAGCCUGAUGCAGCGACGCCGCGUGCGGGAUGGAGGCCUUCGGGUUGUAACCGCUUUGUUCAAGGGCAAGGCACGGUCUUUGGCCGUGUUGAGUGGAUUGUUCGAAUAAGCACCCGGCUAACUACGUGCC